AUACGUAGGGGGCGAGGGUUGUCCGGAAUGAUUGGGCGUAAAGGGCGCGUAGGCGGCCCGGUAAGUCUGGAGUGAAAGUCCUGUUUUUAAGAUGGGAAUUGCUUUGGAUACUGUCGGGCUUGAGUGCAGGAGAGGUAAGUGGAAUUCCCAGUGUAGCGGUGAAAUGCGUAGAGAUUGGGAGGAACACCAGUGGCGAAGGCGACUUACUGGACUGUAACUGACGCUGAGGCGCGAAAGUGUGGGGAGCAAACAGGAUUAGAUACCCUGGUAGUCCACACUGUAAACGAUGAAUGCUAGGUGUAGGGGGUAUCGACCCCUUCUGUGCCGCAGUCAACACAAUAAGCAUUCCGCCUGGGGAGUACGGCCGCAAGGUUGAAACUCAAAGGAAUUGACGGGG
RNAcentral lists this ribosomal RNA (397 nucleotides) under uncultured bacterium. RNAcentral describes it as "partial 16S ribosomal RNA". It matches the Rfam family "Bacterial small subunit ribosomal RNA", at positions 523 to 918 of the family's 1533-position model. The record is from RNAcentral.